UCCAUGGACCUAGAGCAGUGGCUCACACCUAUAAUCCUGGCGCUUUGGAAGGCCUAGGUGGCCAGACUUCUUGAACCCAGGAGUUUGAGACCAGCCUGGGCAACAUAGGGAGACUCUGUCUCUACAAAAAAUACAAAAAUUAGCCAGGCAUGGUGGCACAUGCCUGUAGUCCCAGCUACUUAGGAGGCUGAGGUGGGAGGAUCACUUGAGCCCAGGAGAUAGUGGCUGCAGUGAGCCGUAAUUGUGCCAUUUCAUUCCUGCCUGGGUGACAGAGUGAGACCCUGUCUCAAAAAAAAGAAAAAAAAAUGGACAAUUCACCUCUUGUAAUAGGAAAGAGGGCAAAACAUAAAGUUACAGAUGCAAGUAAGUUGUCAUGUAUGGUUGGGGGAAUGUGGAUUGCUGACGGGAAGUGAUGAUGAGACAGAAUUAAACUGACUACAGUUACCCUCUUGGUCUUUUUCUGUUUUCUACUCUCUGAAGACAAUAAAUAUAAUAACUAUCAUGGGCAGAUAAGAACACCACAGCAGAAAAUGAUUUUUAGAGGAGGUGAGAGAUGUCAUUGGAGUGGGGGUGGGAGUACAUUCCAAGAGUGACUAGUAGAGGGAGCAACCACUUUGACGAAUAUCAUAUGACCUGAGCAUAAGAACGAAAAUCACAUUGCUGGACUGAGGGCCUGUAUUCUGAUGUGCAAUGACUGUCAUUAUGUAAGGAAAGUAGGAAGUGAUCAGAAGAAUUUAGAAAAUCUUAUUAAAAGUUGAAAUUAUAUUUAAUAAGCAAUAUUGCUGAUCCAUGGGGCCCCUGUAAGGUUCUGUGAAGGGGAAGCGAAAGAAGAUACUUAAGAAAGAUAAAGCUUCCUAUUAGUAUUGGCU
This 869-nucleotide long non-coding RNA is filed under the name Homo sapiens (human). RNAcentral's name for it is "HSALNT0076833". The record is from RNAcentral. Lineage: Eukaryota; Metazoa; Chordata; Mammalia; Primates; Hominidae.